AAAGCGCGCGUAGGUGGUUCGUUAAGUUGGAUGUGAAAUCCCCGGGCUCAACCUGGGAACUGCAUCCAAAACUGGCGAGCUAGAGUAUGGUAGAGGGUGGUGGAAUUUCCUGUGUAGCGGUGAAAUGCGUAGAUAUAGGAAGGAACACCAGUGGCGAAGGCGACCACCUGGACUGAUACUGACACUGAGGUGCGAAAGCGUGGGGAGCAAACAGGAUUAGAUACCCCGGU
This 230-nucleotide ribosomal RNA is filed under the name uncultured bacterium. RNAcentral describes it as "partial 16S ribosomal RNA". It matches the Rfam family "Bacterial small subunit ribosomal RNA", at positions 562 to 791 of the family's 1533-position model. The record is from RNAcentral.